AGUUAUAACAGUGCAUAAUUAGCUAUGCUGAUAGUCUUCUCUGCCUCUUCAUUUGAGUCACAGAUACCUGUGAAGAUAUUACUUAAUUUUGAGAAAAGAUAGAAGUUCAUGAUGCCAUGUUCGGACUAUAUGGUUUCAGCUGCUUGUCUGAAUUCCAUCUGAAGUCCAGAAAACCUGUCUUUUAUCUUUCCUAGCUGAAAGGCAAGUAUACAAGAUGCUCUGAAAUGACACAAGGAGGAGUUUUGUUUGUCUAAGUGUAGCUUUGAAGAGAACCAUGUGUGGAAGAGAUACAAGUUCAAAUUCUUAUCAGCCGUAAAAUUAACUGUGUGCUUGGGCAAGGUGCUUUCACUCAGAGAAGCUUAUCUCUCAGGAUUGUUAUAAAGAUAAAAGAGAAUGUUAUCAUUUAUGAUCCUCUGAUCUAAAGUUGAACAUGGUAUUUUAAAAAAGUGACAGUACCAUCCACUGUCAAGCUCACUGGUUUUCCAAUAGGUCUCUCCCUGUUCUUCACACAGAAGCAUUUGUGUCCCUGUACCUUCCAAAUUUUAUUGAACUCUUAACAAAUUCUACAAGACACGGCUUCCUCAGACAUUGUGAAGAUGGGAGAAGGUGACUCUAAAUGAGGAUUAAACAAUAAUAAGAACAUUUGAAAGGAUCACAAAGGACAAAGCAUUCACUCAUACUCCUUGACCACUUUAUAAUUCAAUAAAAGGCAAAACCCUAAACAUA
Molecule: long non-coding RNA, 726 nt
Organism: Pantherophis guttatus
Lineage: Eukaryota; Metazoa; Chordata; Lepidosauria; Squamata; Colubridae
Source: RefSeq, a predicted model, not a curated record